GGUCGGUUAGCUCAGUCGGUUAGAGCGUGGUGCUAAUAACGCCAAGGUCGCGAGUUCGACCCUCGUACUGACCA
Molecule: non-coding RNA, 74 nt
Organism: Polychaeton citri CBS 116435
Lineage: Eukaryota; Fungi; Ascomycota; Dothideomycetes; Capnodiales; Capnodiaceae
Source: the annotation of a GenBank genome assembly